Molecule: non-coding RNA, 45 nt
Organism: Rattus norvegicus (Norway rat)
Lineage: Eukaryota; Metazoa; Chordata; Mammalia; Rodentia; Muridae
Source: Rfam
CCAAAGGCUCUUUUCAGAGCCACUCACCUUACUGAAAGAAUGUUG